GCACCAGGUGAGACCCCCCUGGGACAGGUGAGACCCCCCUGGGACAGGUGAGACCCCCCUGGGGCAGGUGAGACCCCCCUGGGGCAGGGACAGGGCUGGG
This is a long non-coding RNA of Myiozetetes cayanensis, 100 nucleotides long. RefSeq lists it as uncharacterized. The transcript has 3 exons. The record is from RefSeq and is a predicted model, not a curated record. NCBI's taxonomy places the organism in Eukaryota, Metazoa, Chordata, Aves, Passeriformes, Tyrannidae.